This is a long non-coding RNA of Plodia interpunctella (Indianmeal moth), 1236 nucleotides long. RefSeq lists it as uncharacterized. The record is from RefSeq and is a predicted model, not a curated record. NCBI's taxonomy places the organism in Eukaryota, Metazoa, Arthropoda, Insecta, Lepidoptera, Pyralidae. The transcript has 2 exons.
AUUCCAUCAAUUUCCUGAUCAAAACAUUGCAUUCGUCUGUAUGUAAAUGUGGCGACAAAUCAGUGUGCAUGCCUUGCGUCUGAAUUAGUCGCGAAAUAUGUAAUUAAAUUCACAAGUACUUUUAACAUAACCAACUUGGACCUCCAAAGUCCGUACAAACCGCAAAGCGCACAAUACAGCAAAAUACAAGCCAGCAAAGAAACAAUGUCAUUGUCAAAACUGACAGAUUGUUUGACAUUAGGAACCAUGUCUCAUGUGUGUUUUGUCAUGAUUAAUAUCACAAAACAAAAUUAUUUUAUUUUUUGAUAAAAAACUUUUUCUUUGCAGAUAGUUUCUCAUAAUUAUAUUUAUUAAUUUAUAAUGACUCUUUUUCUUUUCUAAUAAAAUAAGGUAAAAUACCUGGUGUAGCCUACUAAUUCCAUGGUGUAGGUAUCUAAUAUCUGUGGUGUGUAGGCAUGGAAUUAGUAGGUACUCCGUACAACCUCCAUGGGUGUUGGUAGGUCGCCAACACUCUUGUCAUGCCUGACAUGUCAUGACACCUGACCCUGGUGGUGCAGAUAAGCUGCGGCGGUGACCACUCUGCAUCAUGUGGGUCGCAUGCCUGUUUGCUGCUAAAGAGGUUUCGUUGUAGAGUACCUACAUUUUAGCGACCUGUUGGCAUAAUGGAUCAUGACGACCGUUCUUUGGUCUUUGUGCUAGACUGACAAACCUGAAGUAUCGACACGUACCUACCCAACUGCUACUACUAUUUAAUUUAUGAAUGCAUAGUAAUCAACGAUGAUGUUAUUUCACUCAGAAUAUUUUUUCUUUUUCUGUAGUCUAAAUGGCAACCAAAGGGGUUUUUGACCAAAAAAGUUUUUGCCCACAUUAAGCUUGUAAUUAAUACGGGAUAUUUUACCUAGCUAUUUCAUAAAUUAAAAACUGAUUUUUUUAAAACUUUUAUUAUUACUUAAAUAGUCACAUUGUCUCUCAUAAGUUUAUGAUACCUAAGAAGAAAUAGGGCAGAGACCGCUUAAGAUGAUAUAUAUUUUAUGAUUAGUCCUAAAAUGGAAGGAACUCACCUCAAUAAAUAAACAAAAUAACAACGUUCACUAACAAACUUUAACAUAAUGACUAGAUUAAUUUAUCGCAUUUUUGAGACUUUAUAAGACAGUGUUAAUUAGGGAGUUGGAAAUUGUCUUGCAUUUUACUUACUACCGUCACUAAUAAACGCACGAAACAAAUCACACAUUCAAU